UUCCGGUUGAUCCCGCCGGACCUGACUGCUAUCGGAUUGAUACUAAGCCAUGCGAGUCAUUGUAGUAAUACAAGGCAGACGGCUCAGUAACGCGUAGUCAACCUAACCUAUGGACGGGAAUAACCUCGGGAAACUGAGUAUAAUGCCCGAUAGAACAUUAUGCCUGGAAUGGUUUAUGCUCCAAAUGAUUUAUCGCCGUAGGAUGGGACUGCGGCCUAUCAGUUUGUUGGUGAGGUAAUGGCCCACCAAGACUAUUACAGGUACGGGCUCUGAGAGGAGUAGCCCGGAGAUGGGUACUGAGACACGGACCCAGGCCCUAUGGGGCGCAGCAGGCGAGAAAACUUUGCAAUGUGCGAAAGCACGACAAGGUUAAUCCGAGUGGUUUCUGCUAAAGGAACCUUUUGUUAGUCCUAGAAACACUAACGAAUAAGGGGUGGGCAAGUUCUGGUGUCAGCCGCCGCGGUAAAACCAGCACCUCAAGUGGUCAGGAUGAUUAUUGGGCCUAAAGCAUCCGUAGCCGGCUCUGUAAGUUUUCGGUUAAAUCUGUACGCUCAACGUACAGGCUGCCGGGAAUACUGCAGAGCUAGGGAGUGGGAGAGGUAGACGGUACUCGGGAGGAAGGGGUAAAAUCCUUUGAUCUUUCGAUGACCACCUGU
Molecule: ribosomal RNA, 656 nt
Filed under: uncultured archaeon
Lineage: Archaea
Description: bacterial SSU rRNA
Rfam family: Archaeal small subunit ribosomal RNA
Source: RNAcentral